Molecule: long non-coding RNA, 482 nt
Filed under: Rattus norvegicus (Norway rat)
Lineage: Eukaryota; Metazoa; Chordata; Mammalia; Rodentia; Muridae
Description: long non-coding RNA NONRATT013539
Source: RNAcentral
CUGGCCUGGGCUGUAGCAGGCAGCUGAUGGCCGCUGUCAUAUCUCCCCAUGUCCUUCUCCACAGGGCCCGACACUAUAUCCACAUCCCGGUGCACUUCAGGCCAGAGACGGUGGGCAGAUUCGAAGCUUUACUUGUGAUCCAGACAGAUGAAGGCAAGAGUAUUGCUGUCCGACUAAUUGGUGAAUCCCUUGGGAAAAGUUGACUAGAAUACAUGCUGUGUAAAUGACCUACUUACUUUUGGCAAUCUCAUUUUUCUACAUCAAAAUUAUGCAGUUGUAUAUAUUUUGUAUGAUAAAUUCAAUGUAUAUAAAUUAUAGAUUUGUUUUUUAAAGAAUUCAUUCCUAAAGUCCUCACUAAAUAUCAUGUAUCUAGUUCACAGUAUUAACAUUUACAGGAGAGAAGGUUCUAUUUUUACAUUAAUUAUGACAUUCUGAAUAAAUAUGGCAUAUGUUUACAAAUAAAGUUGAUGUUUUUAAACUGU